RNAcentral lists this unclassified non-coding RNA (218 nucleotides) under Hevea brasiliensis (rubber tree). Lineage: Eukaryota; Viridiplantae; Streptophyta; Magnoliopsida; Malpighiales; Euphorbiaceae. The record is from RNAcentral.
GUAUGAACGUAUUUUUUUAAAAAUUAAUAAGGGAAGGAAGAGCGUUUUUUUUUAUUUUUUUUGGAUAAAUAAAAGUAAAUUUUGGAUAUUAAUAUUUUAUUGAAUAAUUGUUUAGUAUUUAAGAUUUAGUUUUUAGGAUUUAAAUAACGGUGGUGGUGGUGGUGGUUUAGUUGUUAAGUCGUGUUUGAUUUUUGUGAUUUUGUGGAUUGUAGUUCGUU